GCCACACUGUCUUCCACAAUGGUUGAACUAGUUUACAGUCCCACCAACAGUGUAAAGGUGUUCCUUGACUUCUAAUACUAUAGAUAAGCUUUGCUGCUUUGGAACUUGAAAAAAAUUUUUAGCUACUCUGCUAUUCAUAGACAUUUGUGUAAUGGUUUCAGCUUUGGGCUGUGUGAAUGGUGCUGCUACAGUCAAUCUAACAGAUUUCAUUUUGGUGAACAUGUGCACACAUUUCUUUUAGGUUUAUAAGAGUGCAAUUACUGUGUCAUAGGUUGUAAAUAUUAAGAGCUCUAAUAGAGACUACUAAACAGAUUUCUGAAGUCAUCAUAUCACUUUAUAUGCCUAGCAGCAAUAUAUAAGAAGAAUCAAUCACUUUGAAAAGUUUUUACUUCUGGUAGCUCACUUCUGUAAAUAGUAUCUGUCUAUCUUAAAAAGCUUUAAAAUAAUAAACUUGUUCUGUUCACUUACCCUGCACCCCAGCUUAUCUUUCUUCACCUUCCUCAAAAAACUAAUGGUUAAAUUAUGUUUGCUUGGUUAUAUUUGUAAAUUAACAAUCUUUUAUGUCUUCUUGCUUUGUCAACUUAAUAAGCAGUUUUCCUUCUCUCUCUGUUACAUGUAAAUACAAGUUAUUCUCUAUAUUCGUUUGUUAAUUUCCAUUGCCUAUAUUUUUAAAUCCCUUUUUUAAAUUUUGAAAUAAUGUUAGAUUUACAGAAACACUGCAAAGAUAGUACAGUUUUCCCUAUUAACAUAUUAUAUAACCAUGAUACCUUUGUCAAAACUAAAAACCAACAUUGGUACAUUACUGUCAACUGCAGACUUUAUUGUAUUUCACCAGGUUUUUCUGCUAUGUACCCCUUCUGUUCUCUUCCAGGUUCCAAUCCAGGAUACUACAAUUCACUUAGCCACCGUAUUUCCUGAUUUUCCUCUGGUCUAUGACAGUUUCUCAGUCUUUCCUUGUUUUCAAUGACCUUAAUGGUUUUCAGUCCCCCAGGGUUUCCACCCCCUAAUCUACUGCAUAUAGUCACUUCCCACUGGGUGUGGGCUGGACAUGUGAAUGUGAUGGGAUAGCCUCCAGGAGCCACUCUCACGUUAUUGGCUACUCUAACCUUAGGUCAUUCUGGGCUUCUACUGGGAAGGCUGGCUUUUACUUCCACUUAGGUUCCCCCAUGGUAUUACUUUUUCAUCAACAUACUUCCAUGUACUUUCAGACUUUGAGAAACGUGUGAAAGACUCUGAUCUCCCCACGUACAUCCACACUUCUGAGUUUAUUCAUUUUUGUGUUCCCUUAUUGCUUCAGGAAGGAGGAGGAGAGGUAAGCAUAUGUGCACAUUUUAAAACUAGCAACAAAGAGCUCCCUUUCAAAUCAUAACUUGCCACUGCCAAUUCCAGGCUAACUCGUUAGCCUCAUGCCUUUGUAGUUCUUUUUCUGUUAUACCCAUCUAUAGCCAAUGUUCUUAUAUGUGUAUGUUUUGCAGUGGUAGUAGUUACAGGACCAGGUUUUAAGCCUGGCUCUGGAAUUAUCUGAUAUAUUGCUUUAGGGGAGUUGCUUAAAAUGUGUGCCUCGGCCAGGACAUAAUUAAGAUUAUUACUGUUGUCUACUUCACAGAGUAAUCUGAGAAUGACUUCAUGCAUUUUCACUGCCAUUGCAUUUCUAAAACUGUCUUAUGAUUUUAAAAUAAGCUUCUCUGUCAUAAAAACCGUAAUCAGACACAGAAGAAUGCCAGAAGGCAGAGGUAAACUGAGUUCACCUUCCAAUGUUCCAUCAACACAUCUUGAAAAUUCUUCAUCAUUCUCACUGAUCCUUUAUUCCUGUUUUGCCGUCCUCCUUUGUGAUUAGAAGAUUUUCUCUAAUGUGAGAGAAUGUUCAGGAGAGAAAAUCAGAAAUCUACAUUUGAAAAGUAUCCCACUAACAGAAGUUGAUCCAAGACAGAGAAGAAGAUACAUGGAGCUUAUUUGGGAGGUGCACUGAUAAAAGAUUGCAGACAUGAAAAAAGGGAAGAGAAGAAACUCUUUUCAAGAAUAGUUUCCAAACCACAUAGCUUGUAUUACAUGGCCAUUUACAAUAUGGAUCCCAACUACAUCUUUCGUCACUCUACUGCAGCUAUUCUACACUCUUAUCACAGUGCAAAGUUAAUUAUUCACCCGCCAAGCUCUUCUUUGGUGAAUAUUUAUCCUAUUUAUAAGAUUUAUGUUUACUAGAAGCCAUGGAUGUGAAAGUAUGUAAAAUUAUAAGACUCUGGGAAGACAGACUGAGAAUAGAGGAGAAAUAAUCUGCCAUGUUGUUAGCUCCCCUGUGAGGAGACCCAUGUGAUGAGGAACUGAGGCCUGACAACAGUCAGAAGAGUGGGCUUGGAAGUGGAUCCUUAAGCUCCAAACCUUGAGAUGAUCCCAUUUCUGGCCAACAUCUUGACAGAAAUCUGAUGCAAGACCCUGAGCCAGAACCACCCAGUUUAGCUGUACCCUGAUCCUUGACCCUGAGGAAUUGUUUCAGAAGAAACUACCUUAAUGAAGAAACAGAAGGGAAAGACGUGAAAACCUCCAGAGUUCUUCAGAAAGGCUUCCUUUGCAUAGAAUCGUUCAUCAAUUUCAACAGUAACAGAAAGUAACGGAAACGUGAUCUGAAUGAGUAGCUGAAAAUUGAGUAGUAACUUAACACUCCAUUGAAGUUUUUCAUCAGAUAUGGGGCACAGCUUGACCCUCGUAUUAUAAAUAUUUAAAUGCUUUGGAUAUUUUGCCAAAGUUUAAGCAUUUCUUCCCAAAGGAACAGUGGUGAUAUAAUGUGAGUCAUGCUAAAGUACUUAACCAUCAGUGGGCAGAUUUUGUGGCAUGAAUUUUUGUAAUGAUUUUAAGUAAGACCCGGUAUAUUCACAAAUAUCCAAAACUUUAUUUAGAACUGUAUGGGAAGCUAUUCUAUCUAAAAGCUCAUUCUUAUUAAAAGUAUUUUUUCAGGAAAUAAAAUGAUGUUAAACCUGGAAGUCUCCAGCAAAGAGACUGAUUUUUUUUUAGAUGCUCCCAACUCAGUAAAUUUUGCUUUCCUAUUUUCUUAUUUUUGUACGUAUGCCACUGAUGUCUAGCUUAUACACUUCUGUUAUAUUUACAGCUGUUUACAACCAUUGAACCAAAAGUUCUAUACCUGUUGAAUGUCUAAAAGUAGAGAAAAUUAAUUGAAAAGCAAUAGGUUAAGAAUCAACCUGUGGUCCCAAGAAAAAGAAGUAAAAUCCUAUAAAAUUCUUAAAGCAUUUCCUCUAUAAAUAUUUGAAAGUUAUUUAAUCUUUUGGUCUUUAUAGUGCCUGGAUUGACAUUCUGCAUUAACUAUGGAAUCAUUUUUAUAAGGAAUAUUUUGUGAUUUGUAUAAGAAAAAGUAUUUCUCAAUGGCAUAGGAAGAGCUUUGCUAACUCUUAGAAGAAAGAGGGAAGAGAAGAGGGAAGGAAACAAGUAAAACGAACUGGUGGUACAUCGUGUAUUAAGAGAUAAUACAAGGAUAUCAUACUAUAAUGUUUUCAGACAAAAAUUAUGGACAGGCUAAUUCGUGAAAUAAGAUGAAGACCUAAAAGGUAGCAAUGAUCCUAUACACUAUACUCUGUAACAGUUGUUUUCAAACUGCUUUUUAAACAUAAAAACAAUUUUAAAUCCACUAUUUUAGCACAUUCUGGUCUUAUAUAGUAAUUACAUGGCUAUAUUUUUCCAGUGUGACAUAUUUAAAAUACAUAUCAUUAAAUUUCUGGUUAAUCUUAAACAUGGAAAUAAAGUACGAAAUUUCUA
Homo sapiens (human) is the source of this 3762-nucleotide long non-coding RNA. RefSeq lists it as uncharacterized. The record is from RefSeq and is a predicted model, not a curated record. The transcript is spliced from 8 exons. NCBI's taxonomy places the organism in Eukaryota, Metazoa, Chordata, Mammalia, Primates, Hominidae.